UUGCGGGGGCAGGAUUCGAACCUGCAGUCUUCAGGUCAUGAGCCUGACGAGUUGACCCGCUAUAAAGGUAGGGC
This 74-nucleotide transfer RNA is filed under the name Cedrus deodara (deodar cedar). RNAcentral's name for it is "tRNA-fMet". Lineage: Eukaryota; Viridiplantae; Streptophyta; Pinopsida; Pinales; Pinaceae. The record is from RNAcentral.